GUUUACAAGUUUCUUGGCGAUAUGGGGGGAAAGUUCCUCACAUACCAACGGAAAAUGGGCUUCAUAUACAUGCUGCUGUCUCAUAAUAUGGCGAAGACGAGUCACCUGAAGGCCUAACUCGCCAUAGAAGACUGAAAGAAUUGUCCUGCAGGAUGCUGUGUCCUGCAAUCCUGUGUGCUGUGCUACAGACGCGUGUGGAGGUCAACCCAAAAUGGGCACAGUCUCACCACAGAAGAGUGAAAGAGGAUCCUGGCAGGGAGACGGUAGUGUCCUGCAGAAUGGUGAUGGGCCAAUCUUACAAGAGACCACAGAAAACUGAUAUAGUGAACUAUAGAAACAACAGUGCCUGCUGCAGUAUAACGAGGACACCCUGAGCAGAGAGCUCCAAUAGACCCAGGUCCAGUGUCUUGGCAGGGUGAAAUGGCACUGAUAUGGUGUCCUGCAGGAUGCUGUGUCCUGCAAUCCUGUGUGCUGUGCUACAGACGCGUGUGGAGGUCAACCCAAAAUGGGCACAGUCUCACCACAGAAGAGUGAAAGAGGCUCCCAGAAGUGAGACUGAGUGCCUGUUGCAGUAUGACGAGGACGCAGUGACCAGAGACCUUCAGUAGACCCUGCUGGCAUGAUUGGUGGCUGAAGAACAUGAAAUCAACAGCAAUGUUUAUAAUGUUGUACAUACCUGUAUAGUCUGUAUUAAAAGGCAGUACCUGUA
Long non-coding RNA from Engraulis encrasicolus (European anchovy), 709 nucleotides. RefSeq lists it as uncharacterized. The transcript has 7 exons. NCBI's taxonomy places the organism in Eukaryota, Metazoa, Chordata, Actinopteri, Clupeiformes, Engraulidae. The record is from RefSeq and is a predicted model, not a curated record.